RNAcentral lists this ribosomal RNA (163 nucleotides) under Apinagia sp. NPT-2011. RNAcentral describes it as "5.8S ribosomal RNA". It matches the Rfam family "5.8S ribosomal RNA". Rfam says of the family: 5.8S ribosomal RNA (5.8S rRNA) is a component of the large subunit of the eukaryotic ribosome. It is transcribed by RNA polymerase I as part of the 45S precursor that also contains 18S and 28S rRNA. Functionally, it is thought that 5.8S rRNA may be involved in ribosome translocation. Lineage: Eukaryota; Viridiplantae; Streptophyta; Magnoliopsida; Malpighiales; Podostemaceae. The record is from RNAcentral.
AAACGACUCUUGGCAAUGGAUAUCUAGGCUCUUGCAUCGAUGAAGAACGUAGCGAAAUGCGAUACUUGGUGUGAAUUGCAGAAUCCCGUGAAUCAUCGAGUCUUUGAACGCAAGUUGCGCCCAAAGCCUUCGGGCCAAGGGCACGUCUGCCUGGGCGUCAUAA